This 137-nucleotide small RNA is filed under the name Paenibacillus sp. RNAcentral describes it as "c-di-AMP sequence". It matches the Rfam family "c-di-AMP riboswitch aptamer (ydaO/yuaA leader)". Rfam says of the family: This family represents a conserved RNA structure found upstream of the ydaO and yuaA genes in Bacillus subtilis and related genes in other bacteria. The ydaO/yuaA element is thought to act as a genetic "off" switch for the ydaO and yuaA genes in its native state. RNAcentral also lists the same sequence under 1 other name. Lineage: Bacteria; Bacillati; Bacillota; Bacilli; Caryophanales; Paenibacillaceae. The record is from RNAcentral.
ACUAUGCAUUUGCCGAAUUUCCGACAUACUGGAAAACGGGGGAUCCAAUCUGGGUGAAUUGAUCUCGUUUCAGAGUGAUCAUAGGGAACCUUCAACCGAACCCUCAGCUAACCUCGUAGGCACCGGAAGGGGAAAAU